Molecule: ribosomal RNA, 468 nt
Filed under: uncultured bacterium
Lineage: Bacteria
Description: partial 16S ribosomal RNA
Rfam family: Bacterial small subunit ribosomal RNA
Source: RNAcentral
GACGAACGCUGGCGGCGUGCUUAACACAUGCAAGUCGAACGGAAAGGCCCUGCUUUUGUUGGUUGCUCGAGUGGCGAACGGGUGAGUAACACGUGAGUAACCUGCCCUUGACUUUGGGAUAACUUCAGGAAACUGGGGCUAAUACCGGAUAUGAGCUCCUGCUGCAUGGUGGGGGUUGGAAAGUUUCGGCGGUGGGGGAUGGACUCGCGGCUUAUCAGCUUGUUGGUGGGGUAGUGGCUUACCAAGCCUUUGACGGGUAGCCGGCCUGAGAGGGUGACCGGCCCCCCUGGGCCUGAGAGACGGCCCAGACUCCAACGGGCGGCAGCAGUGGAGAAUCUUACACAAUGGGCCGAAGCCUGAGGUAACAACGCCGGGUGCGGGAUACCGGCCUUCGGGUUGUAAACCACUUUCGCCUGUGCCGAAGCGUGAGUGACGGUAAUGGGUAAAGAAGCACCGGCUAACUACGUG